Molecule: ribosomal RNA, 468 nt
Filed under: uncultured bacterium
Lineage: Bacteria
Description: partial 16S ribosomal RNA
Rfam family: Bacterial small subunit ribosomal RNA
Source: RNAcentral
GACGAACGCUGGCGGCGUGCUUAACACAUGCAAGUCGAACGGCAAGGCACUGCUUUUGUGGGGUGCUCGAGUGGCGAACGCGUGCGUAACACGUGAGUAACCUGCCCUUGACUUUGGGAUAACUUCAGGAAACUGGGGCUACUACCGGAUAGGAGCUCCUGCUGCAUGGUGGGGGUUGGAAAGUUUCGGCGGUUGGGGAUGGACUCGCGGCUUAUCAGCUUGUUGGUGGGGUAGUGGCUUACCAAGGCUUUGACGGGUAGCCGGCCUGAGAGGGUGACCGGCCACAUUGGGACUGAGAGACGGCCCAGACGCGUACGGGAGGCAGCAGGGGGGAAUAUUGCACAAUGGGCGGAAGCCUGAGGCAGCAACGCCGCGUGCGGGAUGACGGCCUGCGGGUUGUAAACCGCUGUCGCCUGUGACGAAGCGGGAGUGACGGUAAUGGGUAAAGAAGCACCGGCUAACUACGUG